UAGUGCCUACGGGGCGCAGCAGUAGGGAAUCUUCCACAAUGGGCGAAAGCCUGAUGGAGCAACGCCGCGUGGGUGAAGAAGUAUUUCGGUACGUAAAGCUCUAUCAGCAGGGAAGAAAAUGACGGUACCUGACUAAGAAGCCCCGGCUAACUACGUGCCAGCAGCCGCGGUAAUACGUAGGGGGCAAGCGUUAUCCGGAUUUACUGGGUGUAAAGGGAGCGUAGACGGCAGCGCAAGUCUGGAGUGAAAUCCCAUGGCUUAACCAUGGAACUGCUUUGGAAAUUGUGCAGCUGGAGUGCAGGAGG
This 305-nucleotide ribosomal RNA is filed under the name uncultured bacterium. Its description in RNAcentral is "bacterial SSU rRNA". It matches the Rfam family "Bacterial small subunit ribosomal RNA", at positions 334 to 655 of the family's 1533-position model. The record is from RNAcentral.